RNAcentral lists this ribosomal RNA (440 nucleotides) under uncultured bacterium. RNAcentral describes it as "partial 16S ribosomal RNA". It matches the Rfam family "Bacterial small subunit ribosomal RNA", at positions 338 to 795 of the family's 1533-position model. The record is from RNAcentral.
CCUACGGGAGGCAGCAGUGGGGAAUAUUGCGCAAUGGGGGAAACCCUGAUGCAGCGACGCCGCGUGAGUGAAGAAGUACUUCGUUAUGUAAAGCUCUAUCAGCAGGGAAGAAAAUGACGUUAGCUGAUUAAGAAGCCACUGCUAACUACGUGCCAGCAGCCGCGGGAAUACGUAGGGGGCAAGCGUUAUCCGGUGUUACUGGGUGUAAAGGGAGCGUAGACGGCAGUGCAAGUCUGGCGUGAAAGGCGGGGGCUCAACCCCGGGACUGCUUUGGAAACUGGACGACUGGAGUGCAGGAGAGGAUAGUGGAAUUCCAAGUGUAGCAGUGAAAUGCGUAGAUAUUAGGAGGAACACCAGUGGCGAAGGCGACUUACUGGAAUGUAACUGACGUUGAGGAGCGAAAGCGUGGGUAGCAAACAGGAUUAGAUACCCGUGUAGUC